CCUACGGGAGGCAGCAGUGAGGAAUAUUGGUCAAUGGGCGCGAGCCUGAACCAGCCAAGUAGCGUGAAGGAUGACUGCCCUACGGGUUGUAAACUUCUUUUAUAAAGGAAUAAAGUGAGGCACGUGUGCCUUUUUGUAUGUACUUUAUGAAUAAGGAUCGGCUAAAUCCGUGCCAGGAACCGCGGUAAUACGGAGGAUCCGAGCGUUUUCCGGAUUUAUUGGGUUUAAAGGGAUCGUUGAUGGGUUGUUAAGGCAGGUGUGAAAGUUUGCGGCUCAACCGUAAAAUUGCAAUUGAUACUGGCAGCCUUGAGUACAGUUGAGGGAGGCGGAAUGCGUGGUGUAGCGGUGAAAUGCUUAGAUAUCACGAAGAACUCCGAUUGCGAAGGCAGCUUACUAAACUGCCACUGACAUUGAUGCUCGAAAGUGUGGGUAUCAAACAGGAUUAGAUACCCCAGUAGUC
RNAcentral lists this ribosomal RNA (460 nucleotides) under uncultured bacterium. Its description in RNAcentral is "partial 16S ribosomal RNA". It matches the Rfam family "Bacterial small subunit ribosomal RNA", at positions 338 to 795 of the family's 1533-position model. The record is from RNAcentral.